CCUACGGGUGGCUGCAGUGAGGAAUCUUGCGCAAUGGGGGAAACCCUGACGCAGCAACGCCGCGUGAGUGAGGAAGGUCUUCGGAUCGUAAAGCUCUGUCAGUUGGGAAGAAAUGUCUGAGGGUUAAUACCCUUCAGGUUUGACGGUACCAACAGAGGAAGCACCGGCUAACUCCGUGCCAGCAGCCGCGGUAAUACGGGGGGUGCAAGCGUUGUUCGGAAUCAUGGGGCGGAACGGAUAUGUAGGCUGCGAAAGCCCUGGGCUUAACCCAGGAAGUGCAUUUGAAACUGUCCGGCUUGAGUAGGGGAGAGGGAAGUGGAAUUCCUGGUGUAGAGGUGAAAUUCGUAGAUAUCAGGAGGAACACCGGUGGCGAAGGCGACUUCCUGGCCCUAUACUGACGCUGAGACGCGAGAGCGUGGGUAGCAAACAGGAUUAGAUACCCUGGUAGUC
This 450-nucleotide ribosomal RNA is filed under the name uncultured bacterium. RNAcentral's name for it is "partial 16S ribosomal RNA". It matches the Rfam family "Bacterial small subunit ribosomal RNA", at positions 338 to 795 of the family's 1533-position model. The record is from RNAcentral.